Molecule: ribosomal RNA, 253 nt
Filed under: uncultured bacterium
Lineage: Bacteria
Description: partial 16S ribosomal RNA
Rfam family: Bacterial small subunit ribosomal RNA
Source: RNAcentral
UACGUAGGUGGCAAGCGUUGUCCGGAUUUAUUGGGCGUAAAGCGCCCGCAGGCGGCUUGAUAAGUUUCAGGUGAAAUCUCCCGGCUCAACCGGGAGGGUGCCUGGAAAACUAUCAGGCUUGAGUCAUGGAGAGGGAUGUGGAAUUCCCGGUGUAGUGGUGAAAUGCGUAGAUAUCGUCAAGAACACCUAUAGCGAAGGCAGCUUACUAGGCUCUAACUGACACUGAGGCACGAAAGUGUGGGGAUCAAACAGG